This 253-nucleotide ribosomal RNA is filed under the name uncultured bacterium. RNAcentral describes it as "partial 16S ribosomal RNA". It matches the Rfam family "Bacterial small subunit ribosomal RNA", at positions 524 to 776 of the family's 1533-position model. The record is from RNAcentral.
UACGUAGGCAGCAAGCGUUGUUCGGAGUUACUGGGCGUAAAGGGUGCGUAGGCGGCGCGACAAGUUGGGUGUGAAAUCCCUCGGCUCAACCGAGGAACUGCGCCCAAAACUGUCGUGCUCGAGGGAGACAGAGGUGAGCGGAACUUAGGGUGGAGCGGUGAAAUGCGUUGAUAUCCUAAGGAACACCGGUGGCGAAAGCGGCUCACUGGGUCUCUUCUGACGCUGAGGCACGAAAGCUAGGGUAGCGAACGGG